Long non-coding RNA from Lagopus leucura (white-tailed ptarmigan), 487 nucleotides. RefSeq lists it as uncharacterized. The record is from RefSeq and is a predicted model, not a curated record. The transcript has 3 exons. NCBI's taxonomy places the organism in Eukaryota, Metazoa, Chordata, Aves, Galliformes, Phasianidae.
AAGUGACGGCGGCAGCGCAGCGCCGGCACCGCGUGGUACCAGCACUGUCAGCACCGGCACUGUCAGCAUCAGUGUCACCAGCAGCCACCAGCACUGUCACCGCUGCCACCAUCACUGGGAUUGUCACCGUUGCUGCCAUCACCGCUGCCAGGUUGGUCACCAUCACUGCUGGCACCAGAGUUGUCACCAUCACCAGGGCUGCCACCAUCGCCACUGUCAUCGUCACUGGGAUUGUCACCAUCACUGCAGUCACCACUGCUCAGUUUGUCACCAUCACCUUGCAUACACAGCACGGCGGUACAGCACUGACGGGACCCCAUGGCUGCCCCCCAAGCGGCCGCAAAGCUGCUGCCCCCCCUCCUCCUGGCACUCGCAGCCCCCUCAGCCACUUUCUGGGUCCGCUCGUGGCCGCGUGUCGCCGUGGUUCCGUUCGGCGGUUCGGUGCCCAUCAACUGCAGCCGCGGUUUCUGCCCGGGUCUUGCGGUGC